RNAcentral lists this long non-coding RNA (852 nucleotides) under Equus caballus (horse). RNAcentral's name for it is "lncRNA (ENSECAG00000047816.1)". The record is from RNAcentral. Lineage: Eukaryota; Metazoa; Chordata; Mammalia; Perissodactyla; Equidae.
GGGGAAGGAGCUCAAUGAUCGAUUAGUAAUGCCUGCAAUGAGCAUGGAAGAGAGCAGGGUAGCACGUGUACCAUGUAUUUGUCAUAAGAAUAGAUUGUGAAGUAAUAGAAGAUGGGGUGCAGGCUCAGCUUUAUCACUUUCUAGCUAGAAGUUAAACCUUGUGCUUAAUUUUCAGAGCUUCAGUUUUCCCAUACAUACUAUGGGAAUUUUACCUCUUGGUUAUUUUUUGGAAUGGUAAAGUUCUUAUCAAGGUAUCCGGCAUGUUGAAAUUUCUCAAUAAAUGGAAACGACCCAGACAUAUCACUGAGGGAUGUGGCAUCACAGAAAUAUCACUGAGGCCAAGGAAAAAAGGAACCUCUGAGGUGGGCAGAGCAGGUACGAUGGCCACCACUAGGCAGAGGAGGGAAGUCAGAAUCCAGGAAGGUGAUGUGACUACCUCAGAAUCACCCCACAAAAUAAGGAAGAGCGGGACCUCUCGGCUUCUCUAAAGUGCUAAUGUGUACUGUGAAUUUCAAGACAAGCUUUGCUGCAGCGUUUCCUUUAUUUAUUUGGCCAUGGAGACUGAGGCAAUGGUGCCCCUUUGCACAAGGAAGUGUGCGGAAUCAGUGAGCCUGAGAACAACACACUUUACGGUCACUUAUUCUACUCCUCCAUCCUGACUCCCCAUGGCAGGAGAAGCUCUGUGGCUGAGACCUGGCAUAUUAAAAUUUUUAUUUGGUGACAAUUCUAUAGGCUUACAGCCUCAUGUUGCUGAAAAAGUGGUGUGAAUGCAAUAGCACUCCCUCCACAGACAUCCACAUCCUUCCUUGGCAAAAAUGGUGUGUACAGAUUCAAGCUUCUGUUCUAAAAGAA